RNAcentral lists this ribosomal RNA (477 nucleotides) under uncultured bacterium. RNAcentral describes it as "partial 16S ribosomal RNA". It matches the Rfam family "Bacterial small subunit ribosomal RNA", at positions 28 to 507 of the family's 1533-position model. The record is from RNAcentral.
GAUUAACGCUGGCGGCGUGCCUAACACAUGCAAGUCGAACGAUGAAACUUUAAUGAACCCUUCGGGGAGAAUUAAAGCGGAUUAGUGGCGAACGGGUGAGUAACGCGUGAGUAACCUGCCUUACACAAGGGGAUAGCCUUUGGAAACGAAGAAUAAUACCCUAUAAAACCAUAAAAGCACAUGCAAUUAUGGUCAAAGUGAUAGCGGUGUAAGAUGGACUUGCGUCUGAUUAGCUAGUUGGUGAGAUAAAAGCCCACCAAGGCAACGAUCAGUAGCCGGCUUGAGAGAGUGUACGGCCACAUUGGGACUGAGACACGGCCCAGACUCCGACGGGAGGCAGCAGUGGGGAAUUUUGCACAAUGGGGGAAACCCUGAUGCAGCGACGCCGCGUGAUUGAGAAGGCCUUCGGGUUGUAAAAAUCUUUUGUAUAGGAAGAAAAUGACAGUACUAUACGAAUAAGGUCCGGCUAAGUACGUG